GACGAACGCUGGCGGCGUGCUUAACACAUGCAAGUCGAACGGAAAGGCCCUGCUUUUGUGGGGUGCUCGAGUGGCGAAUGGGUGAGUAACACGUGAGUAACCUGCCCUUGACUUUGGGAUAACUUCAGGAAACUGGGGCUAAUACCGGAUAGGAGCUCCUGCUGCAUGGUGGGGGUUGGAAAGUUUCGGCGGUUGGGGAUGGACUCGCGGCUUAUCAGCUUGUUGGUGGGGUAGUGGCUUACCAAGGCUUUGACGGGUAGCCGGCCUGAGAGGGUGACCGGCCAAAUUGGGAAUGAGAUAACGCCCCGACCUCCUCGGGGGGGAGGAGGGGGGGAAAUUGCAACAAGGGGGGAAGCCCGGAUGAGGAAACGCGGGGGGGGGAAGGAGGGCCUUGGGUUUUAAAACGGUUUUGCCCGGGAAGAAGGGGGGGGGAAGGGAAAUGGUAAAGAAGGCACCGGCAAACAAGGG
Molecule: ribosomal RNA, 468 nt
Filed under: uncultured bacterium
Lineage: Bacteria
Description: partial 16S ribosomal RNA
Rfam family: Bacterial small subunit ribosomal RNA (bases 15-372)
Source: RNAcentral